UUCUUUUUAAGGGGUUGAUCUGCUAAAGGGGCUGUUAGAGAUGGAGCUUCACCUGUCCCUUUGUAAAACCUGUGUUUGUGGUAUAGCCAAGAGUAGGAAAAUAAAUUCCCAUGGGCAGUGUGUGUCUUUUUUAUUCUUUUCUGUGUUGUGCACACACUAGAGUAGGUGUUUCUUGCUCUAAGACUGGCUCAUACUUCUGAGAGGCCCAGGCAGAGCAAAUGCUUCUUUCCUUUCAGCACUGCCUACGUUUAGGCUUUCUGUGGCUUUACCUUGAACAUAUGGUUCCCACUUUUGCUUUUGGGAAUGCUCUUCUUGUCUGUUGACCAAGGCAGAGCUGUGGUUGACAACAAAUGGUUCUCAUCCAGAGGGAGUGGAAAGUGACUAAAGGGCAUAAUUUUGGCCGAAUGGUGUUUUUUCUUCUUUUUAGUUGAUAGUUUCCUACAGGGUUCUCAAAGCCUCGUUCUUAGUGCAGGUAGGAUUGAAACAGUGGGACUGCUAUAACCAGGCUUGCUGGUUUGGGCAAAAAAGGCACACUGAGGAGUAAGAAAAUGUUAAGCAUCAAAGAACUGAAAUCACUAGUAAACCAUUGGGCUUUUUUGUUCCAAUAUAUUAUUGGAGGAAAGAGAGGGAGUUUUCCUUUUUAAAAAAAAAAAACAACAUUUAGCUCUUUUAAAUCUGCAAAGUAGAAGUUGAUAUUCUAGGAGAAAGUUGGGGUUUCUUUCUGCAUGUAGAUUCAGGUAGAACAACUGGGGAACAAAAAUCCCUGGCAAAUGGUAAAGGUGACCACAGCAUUGACAAAGUGAGCCAGAAGCGCUGCUGGGUUUCUUUUUAUGAUAUUUAACAUUUUCUUUCAACUUGGUUUCAUUUUAAUAACUGCAAGUGCCAAAUACAGCAGAUGCAGACAGAAGGAAAGGAGACAAUAAAGUUAUUUAAAGUAAGCCAAGAGCAAGCUGAAAUUUUACUGCAGUACCAUUAUUAUAUUGAUUUUUUUCACACUGUAGAAAAACAAGGUCAAUGCUGCAGAAGGAAACAUUAGGCCAAAGUGUGAUUGGUUGUAAAAAUUUUCCAUGGCAUCUUAAAAUUAUUUUCAUUUGAAAGAAGCCGCUCGGAUUCUGAUCAAAACAUAUUUAGAGUUCUCCAGAUGCUAUCCACAGAUAGAUGCAUUUCAAUCAUGCUUUGUCUGGAGAUGAUUGAGGCUAUUUUGGAGCCAAAGCAGUGGUUUCAUUUAUCACGACCUUUGUUCCUGGGUCUACUUAGAGUCCAACGAUUGUCUGGAACUGAUCAGCCCUUUUCCCAGAUGUUCAAAAGCAUUUUGAAGCUUAUCAGUGCUAGUAAACCAUAUGUUUAUUAGGGGAGAGGAGGCAGGAACAGCAAGUUAAAUGCUUUUUGAUCAUAUGCUCAAUGUGAACCGUCUUCUAAAUUACCUUAUUAGACAAUUUUCUGAUGACUUUCCUUAGUAAGAAUGUUUUGGCAUGAAUAGAUCAAAAGCAAAAAAUAGACAAGAAUGGAGGUAGCAUGGGACAUUUUUUGUUCUGAGAACUGUUAAUCAACUGUGUAAUCUCCCAUACAAUAAAUGUGUAAAUAUGUAUAGAGUUUUUGCCCCAGCUUCUGCUGCUGUGAAUCAGCUAAACAGCUCUAAAAAUUCAAAAUUGCAUGUAUUAAAGAGGAAAAAACGUUGAAAAAGUGAGGUAGAUAGGAUGAACAGAGAUGCAAGGGUGUGGUGCCUAGCAGGCUUCCAACUAAUGAUGUGAAAUGGUGUCAGAAAAAAAAUCAGGUGCUCCCACAGACACCUGUUCACCCUGCCCGACUCUGUCUCUCUCCUUCACACGCAGCAGAUUUACACUUGGGGUCAGCAGUGUAACCAGCCAGGGCCUUUCUCUUGUAGAGUCCAGCUAAUUGUCAGGCAUAAAAAAUUAUAUCCAUAUAAUGAGGAAAUCACAAGUAAGAAGAAUAAUGUGGUUGCUUGGUUUAUUUAAAAAAUAAAAAUAUAAAAAUUAAAAAUAUAAAAAUAUUUUAAAAAUAAGCCAAGCAUGUGUAAAGUUUCCAUGAGCUAUGGAGAGUUCACAACCUACUCUCUGCAACCAUUUUGUGAGCAUAUUUAUGGGGUACCAGCUCAUGGGGGACAGGUGUCAUCUUAAAGCUGAAUUUCUUACUUCUGUUUUGUGGAUAUUUGAUUGCUUAGCUGCCCUUCUGCAGGGCUGAACCUUCCCAAACAUUAUGGCAGAUGUCAUCAAGCUCAGUGACAGGGGUGUGCCCCGGUGACACGGGUAAAUAAACUGUCAUGGUGUUGGGAAGCCAGAAGAUUGAGAAGCUGGUCCUCCUUAUCUCAUUUUUCAAGGAUAUGGGUACAGCCAGCAGUGGUCCUCCACGCUGAGGACAGAAAAAACUCUCUGUGCCAUCCAGUUGCCAGUUUUGACUUUACAUACCUUCCAGACCUGGUUUGAAGAUCUCAAACCAUAGAGGCCAACCAUCCAUCUCUCUUCAUUUUGUGUUCCUGCCAAUUAGUUAUUCUCUCAGUUAAAAGUUUGUUUCAUUUCUUUUGUAAGUCAUCUAGUCUGUCUUCAAACCUUUGGUCCUUGGUUCCUCUAGUUUCCUGCUGUUGACCAGUCCUGGUAGCCUCCAAAUAACUGUGUAUCUUUUGCAUCAUCUCCAUUCUUCAUUUGCCUUUGAAAAUAUGGAUGCUAAAAUCAUAUAGGUACCAAAACCAUAUGCAUCCUUUCAGCAUCACUCACCAUUCCCUUGCAUGUUUCCGUGUCUGUGCAGAUAAUAAUUGCUCCAGACUUUUUUGCCAAAGUGCUAAGUCAAUAGUUAUUAAAAAUGCAUAUACAUGGCAUCAUCCUCAAUUACAUGUUAUCAAACAGAGUCAUAGUCUUGUCAAAGAUUGAAAUUAAGUCUGACAAGACCUGUCUUCUGGAUACCUGUAUUGGCAGACAUUGGUCAUAUUCCUGUCCUUCAGCUCGUGAUUAACUGAAUCCUAAAGUGACAAAUUCAAAACAGAGGAAAAAAUUUCUUUUCUCUCUGACAUGUCACUGAAUUGUAAAACUUGCUGUGUUGGUGAUGGAAUUGGUCGGGGAAUUCAUAGAUUAAUUGUUUUAAGGACCACUAGGCUACCUAAUCUGGCUGAACCAUUUGGUCUUUAAAAUUAUGUAAAUGUAUGUAAGAUUAAAGACUUCACCCUGAGUUAUGUGAUAUGAACGGAAAAAGCAUUGGAAAGGAGAGAAAAAAAUUGAUCAAAUUAAUUGUUGGUGGGAGAUGAAACCAUCUUCAGCAGGGAGCUUAGAUAUAAGACCAGCCAUGAGGGGGGUUGGAUUUGGUCUAUGCUUUUAUGCUUCUGGAAGAGCUUUUUACUUCUUUCUGUGGAGGACUUUAGAAGGUUUUUAUUACUAAUUAUUAAUGUGUAGGAGAACUUUAAAACUAAUUAUACUUUUCAGACCUUUGAAAUUUAUUCUCAAAGCGUACCUGUAACCUUCUUACCACAGAUGCUUUGGUACAAAUCACACUUAGUGGAUCUGCCACAUUUAAGUGGUUAUGGAUGUUUAGUUUGAGUUAUUUAAACAGAAAAGCUGUCUCUUCCUGAGCUUUAUUUUUUGCUGAACAAAAUGACGAGGAGACUUUGCACUGCUAUAACCUAUUUCAUUGGAGGCUGCCAGAAAACAUCAGAAAAACUAUUUAGACCUCAUCAACUUUUAAGAAAUAGUUUAAUGCUGCACACCCAGUAUAUUGACAGGGAAAGUGAGGUACUCAGAGGUAGGGAUUUUUUGGUUUUUUCUACUCAUUCUGUGCCACUAUGAGCAAAGUUUCAGCUCCUUUACUCAAUUUCUUUUUUCUGCCCUGGUGCUAUAUCUGAAGAGUUGGUCCACAGACCAGCACCAAGAGUCAUCACAGUUUGAAGGGAUGAGUCCUUCACAGGAGGUACUUCCUCAGCUCCUUGAAUGCCUGAAGUAGUCAAUAGGAAAGUGCAAAUCCUGCCAUUAAACUCUAUGUUCAGAUCAAUUUGUCAGACACUGAUGAGCCCAGUCAUGUAUGAUGAUUUAGCUCAGAUUUGGGUCUGUCUGUGCAUGGUGGGGUUUUCUGCAGUGAGGUUAUUUAUUGCUCAAAGGAAGCUCUCCAAGAAAUCCUUAUAAGACUACAGCACUGCUUAAGAUAUUGGCAACAAACAGUCUAAAAUUCAUUUUUAAGGAUGCUGCACACCAUUCCAGCUGUUUUUUCUGUUCAUCUCAGCAGCACCUUCAUUCUUUGUUGCUUUUCCGAAUUACUUUGCAAGUUACUUGUACAAUUUUCUCCAUCAAAGCUCCUGUAUCACAGCUUCAAUUUAGAAGUGUUGUCAUGGGCUGUAAUUUGAAAUUUUAUUACCAAGAGAUUUUUUGGUUAUAGAACAUUUACUUUUAUCAUCUCUAUAUUAUUUUUAAAUGCCUGAAAAGAUUGAUACAUCAACAGAAUCUGUGCAACACCAGGCAAGAUCUGAUUUUUUUUCACAACCUUAAUUUUAAAAACUCUUUGCUUGAAACAUAAAUUGAUUCCUAAGUCCCCCGCCCCCCCCCCCCCACUUAAUGAUUUGUUAUUCUCAAGGUUAAACCUAUGACAAAUUUUACAAAAACACCAUUCUUCAGUUUUGAUAAGAUUUUCUCUAGUUGAGCUCAGGGAUAGCUGUGUAGUUUUAAGUCUUUAAAUAGCAUAACAGAGAUGUGAUCCUGGCCUCCUGUGUUCACAGUACUCCCAUAGCAUUUAAGACUCUCAUGUUGUUGCUACCGGAGUUUGUCCUACUGUGGUUAGCCACAGUUAUGAUGUGGGAGGGAAGACAGUGAUGUUAAAACAUCUGUUAACCUCUCUGGAAAGUCAAGCAAGGAUUGCAGGGAAAAAAACAGCCCCUACUGUCUUUGUGUUUCAGUGCAACUAAAUAGCAUUAAAAAAUAAGUGGAGAGGGAAGAAAAUUAUUAUGGUAAAGGAAAAAUAAAUCGGCAUGGCUGAGGAAUGCACGGUAAAAAGGAAUAAAGUGGAACAGCACAGAAGUAAAGUGUUAUAUUCUUCUUUCCUUCACAGGCCAAAAAAUGUAGUUCCCUCAACAACAGCCUGUCAUAUGCAGAUGAUUUGCUGUAGGUUGCAGGAUUUGUGUUGUCUGUUCUAUUUCUCUCGCUUUGGAGGUGAUGAUUUACUAAGCUGGUGUAUGGUUUCCACAAAUAUUUAAAAUAUUGAUUAAGCAGAGGAAGAAUAAACACGAAUUGUUUUUCAAGUUACGCCUUAUGUUGUACAUGACUAAUUACAUACAACAAUUUGCUCUGCUACGGUAACUGAAAUUUAUGUACUCUUUUUAUUAUAAAACAUAAGACGCUUGCAUAAAGAGAGCGAUUAUAAAUAUUGGAAUACAACAGUUGCUAAAAAACAGUCAAAACAUGCAGUGAUAAAGUAUAUGGGAUUUGCUCUUCCAACUUCUCUGUGCAAAGCUGCUCCUCCAUAACCCUAGGGUUUGUAUUGAGAGUUGGCAUAUUUUUGUCACCAUUUCAGAGAGUAGCCUGGUGAUCUGGACACAAAGCAGCAGUCUGGCCCAAGUGCAAAUUAUUGUGAUGGUACAAAAGGCUUCAGUUGCUGGAUGGCAGAUAGUGAAAGUGAUUUUUUCCUGGGAGCAUAUUUUUACCUAUGGAUAAUUUUUUAAAAUAGACUAAUGUCCAGUUUCAUUGGUAAAUGAGAUGCAGGCGUAUUCCACCUAAUCAGAGGCUUCUGAUGCAUAUGAAGCUCCGAUUAUGGCAGACUAUUACAUGAAUGUUUAGGAAAUCAGAGCAAUGCUGAGUAUAUAGCACUCAAUGGUCUCUAAUAGAAUACAAGGACAGGUUUUCCCUGGCACCUAAAUCCCAUUCUCCUGGUUGUUUAGGUUUGAAAGUUCAAUAAGCUUUGCACAAUUUACCUUUUUGGGCUGACACACCAUUUAAUUGGAGUGCAGCUUCUAGACUGAGCCUUUUGUGGUGCCAUCACACCAGCCCAGGUAGGCUGAAACCAGCAGAUUACACCACAAAAAAAUACCAUUGUAGUAUCAUCCUUAUAUCCUCAAAUAAUUUUGAGAGUUCCUUUUGAGGGAUCAACAUGGCUUGUACCAGGAAUGAGAGGAGGAAGCAGAUGGAUUUGGUCAUUGACUCUCAGGACACUUUUUUUCUUUAAGCUAAUUACAAAUUGACCAAAAUAUCUGUAAAUUGAACUCGACAAUGACUUCUGCUGAAGUAAUCACAUUACUAAAAAAAAAUUACAACUCCUAGGAGGUAUUUUUACCACCAGGGGACAGGAGAGCAAAGGGAGAUCAGUGGUGGGUUCCAAAACUGACGUGAUGAAGGCCUUGAAGUAGAGCAACCAGUUAUUCCCUUUCAAGGAAGUGGAGAGAUACCUUGGGUGUUUUUCAGACUCCUCUGUAGAAGGCUAUUCCUAAUCAUCUGUGGCCCAUAGAGAGGGCUUAAAUUGUGCUGAUGGUCUGCUACUUCCUCUUAACAUCUUAUUUUAGUAUUUUUUCUCAAGUGUAGCUGUACAUAUUUUUAGUAGUAUAGAAAUUGGGACAUACAAAUGUGGGUUUAGUUUGUCAAGUUUUGUAGAUACUUUAUUGGACCAAAAUUGGUUGGAAAGCUCUGGCAUGCUCAUUAAUCUGUAAAGUCAUAAAAAGCCACUUGGAUUUUUUUACUUGCAGUGUGUUUAUCAUCUGUUGAAAGAGCUAAGAGGUCUGGCCAGUUUCUAGGCCCAGUUCCAUUUGAAGAUGAAAGGCAGCAUUUUUGAAGCACUAAUUGACAUCACCAAAUACUUACAAGGUCACAAACAUGACAGCUUUGGGUAAAGAAAAAGGAGUAUUUCUGGGCUUUGGCACUUUGAUCAAAAAGUUUCUUGACUUCCAGAAGAGAUAAAUAUCAAUAAUAAAACCUAAACAAAAUUUGUAUUGGCCAGGAUUUAAGUGCUUGAUUCUUUGAAAUUAUUUAGAGUUCUUUUUUAUUUUCUUAUUUCUUUUUUUGCCAUUACUUCGUUUUCAUGUGUUUUAGUUGCAGAUUAUCCAUUCCAAAUGCAGCAAAAUAUAUACUUCUGUUGUUUCAGGAGUCAUGGGGGUUUUAUUAUAAAAUUUGUCGUAGCCUCCUGUCAGGCUGAAAAAGCCUAGGAGCUGCCUUGCCUGUGAUUUGAUGUGGGUUUAUUUCCAAGGAGCAUUGCUUCUAAAGGAGGGCAGGGCAGGUUUCCUGGCUUAUAGGUGCUUAUAAUUGUAACGUUGGUGGUUGUCGUUUAGGAACAUAUUGCUGUUGUCACCAUCAAAUGCAGCCACAAAAAGAAUUUUGCAAGGAAUCACCUGAUGGUUUCCUAUUAUUUUUACUGUCAAUACUUGAUAAGUAGGGCCCAGAAAUUAUUUUUGACAGAGCCAAUCCUUUCUCAACAAAGUAGUUUCGGAUUUUGGUGUUGCAUGAAGAGAGUAAUGUCUGAGAAAUCAUUGAGUUGAUGAGGGGAUGAGUUGAUUAAGAUAUAGAAGAGCCUGAUGCAAACAGUUUGUUAGAAGGUUACAGUACUGGUUGGGUGGGAUGUCUGCAUACCAUAAUUUUUAUUAUAACAGGAGCACAGUGGCAAUUUUUAAAAACUACCGUUUCGAUGCAUAGCAGAAGGAAAAUACAUUGUAUGCCAGACAUAAUAUUUUCUUGAUGGCAUUGGUUUUCUCAGCUUGCUGAUUAAUAUGUAGUUUCAAUUUAAAAGUUGCUUGCAAAACAAAUGAACCAAAUGAAUAAAAAGAAAGAAAAAAAUAGAAGGGAGCCAAGCUUCACUUCUCCCUGUGAUUUUUAUGGGCCUUGGGUUCCUGCUUGAUAUGACACUUGUCUGUGAAGUUGAUAGACAUAAAAAUAAAUUUGGCUCUGGGAGUGAUAAACAGGAAAUUAAACUCUGCUCUCUGGCUCCUUUUACUGGGAAUGCUGCACCUUCAAAUGCUGGACACAGGCUGAUGUGCUCCAGGCAUACCGGGAAGCUCUGAUCAGCCAGGGCUGACACUCCAAACUGACAUUAAAGCAUCACCACUGCCCUGUCUACAAUCCUGAAAAUCCUCUUGAAAAGGUGCCCAGACCUUGAAGAGGAGCAUGAGGAUCUUGUGACUCUGUGGCAUGAAGUGUAGGCAGCCUGGGCUGUUCCGUUGGAGGAUUGUUCUGUCGAUGCCACAGCAAUGCCAGGAGUCACGUUACUACAGCGAUGCUGAAUGUGCUCCAUCCCACCCAAACAAUGCACACAAGGUGCUACCAUCUUCUGCAGAAAUGGGCACACAGUGACUCACUACCUUAUGGGUGUGCAAAACAGGGCUCAUUGUCAAUGCCUGCAAGAGCACAGUAGGGGAGACCAUGGAAGGAAUUCCUCACACUUUUUCCUCAUUCUGGUUUCACUCUGUAGAAGCAGUUCUGAUGAAGAUGUAUAAUCUAACAUUUCUUUUAAAAGUAGUAUGUGAAAAAAUAUAAACUUAUGGGCAUAUUUCUUGGGUUUUCUCUUGAAAUUUGAGGCAUUACUAAAUGUUCAAGUGUUGGUUAGCUGCUGUAACAUUCUGUUCUUGGAUGAAAUGGGCACUCUUCAGGAAACAAAAUGCACAUUUAUUUGGUUUGGAGGAACAGACUAUUCCAAAUUCUCCCAGAAGUUGGUUUGCCUCAGCUGUUUUUGGUUGUUCUCUGCUCCUGUCAAGCUGAAACAUAUGUGGUUGUUACCCAAUACAAUUUAGCAUCACCAAACCGGUCACUUUGGAAAACAAAGCUCGCAGAAGUUCUGCAGAGAAAUAUAUGCUGCCUGUGAAGUGGUAUUUGUGUGUAAAGUGAUAUGCACCCACUGUAUAAAUAAUGAAUAAUAACUAGUAAUAAAUUCUUCAUAUCAUAGCAUUAUUUCUUACUGUUCAUGAUUCCGGGUGUUUUGUGGUAAUCCUGAAACAAAGCACUGAGAAGUAUAUGAGUAAUAUUUACUACUGCUAAGUUGUUGCACAAACAUGUCAGGAAAGAGAAGCUUUUUUGGCUGUGUAAUUUGAAUGUUUAAGACUAUAUAUUGUUUAUAUUAUAAUAUUUUAUAUGAUUAAAGUUAUCCUUUGAUUCCAAAGGAACGUAAAAUGUUAUACAAAGCUCAUACAUUCAAAACCACUGAAGUAAUGCAUGCAGAAACAUUUGUCAGCCCACAAGUGAAACACCCCUGAAGAAUGAUGCUGGGCAUAAUUUGACCACGUGUUCCCCUGCAAAUCCAUAUUCUUUUUCAGAAGUGCCAGUCAUUGUAAGAGGAGCUUACAAAGGUGUUGUACAAGACCAUGCAGAAGGAUCCAGUAGUUCACCAAUGGCAAUCUCCUGGUGGCACAGGAAUUGCUCAGCCCCUGUACAAGAGCCAAGCAGGCAUACCUGGAAACCAUCCUGCCUGAACAUGGAAAUCCUGAGCAAACUCAAUGAACAAAGGAAGUGUAUAGGAACAGGGAGAAUCACAGAAUUGUUAAGGUUGGAAGGGACCUCUGCAGGUCCUCUGGUCCAGCCCCUUUACUCAAGCAGGGUCACCUCGACUCAACUGCCAAGGACCAUAUCCAGAUGGCCUUGAAUUAUCUCCAAGGAAGGUGACUCCAGUCCUCUCUGGGCCACCUAUGCCAAUGCUCUGUCAUCCAAACAGCAAAACGGUGUUCCUGAUGUUCAUAAAAUCACAGAAUCAUUUAGGUUUAAAAAGAUCUUUAAGAUCAUCAAAUCCAACUGCUAAUCCAGCGCGGCCAAGCCCACCACAAAUACAUGUCCCCAGGUGCCAUAUCUACAUGUCUUUUAAUACCUCUAGUGGUGGUGACUCAACCACUUCCCUGGGCAGCCUAUACAAUGCUUGAUAACUUUCCAGUGGAGAAAUUUUUCCCAAUAUCCAAUCUAAACCUCCCCUAGUUUAACUUGAGACCAUUUCCUCUUGUCCUAUUGCUUGUUACGUGGGAGAAGAGACCGACCCGCACCUCGCUACAAGCUACAAGCUCCUCCUGUUUGUUGCCCAUGCUGUGUGUAUUAGUGUAGGUGCAGGGGCCAAAACUGGAGCCAAGUCCCAAAACAGCUCUAGAAUCUCCAUGGUAAACACUGCAAACUCAGCUGCACAUGACCAGGAACACUCUGGUCUGAUAUCCAAGUGCAUUUUGUUUUGAGCAGGAGUGGGCUGAGUGAUUUGCAGAGGUCCCUUCGAACCAAAAGCAUUCUGUAAUAUCCUAACAUUAUCCUAGAAUUGAAUCACCAUUUCAAUGUACUUCCCAAGAUGGUUUUUUUUGUCAGUUUGCUUUAAAACGAUACCCAGAAUCCUCACUGGUCAGUAACUACUAGAACUUUGGAUUUAUUUUAGGUCUUCUGAGCCUAACUCCUAUCUUGGCAUAGUCAUCACAGUUUUGCUUUUGAACAGCUUGUUUCCUUUAUAGUUUUUGCCUCAUGCUGGGAUGGAGUAAGACUGAAUAAUUUAUCUUCCUUUUCCUCAAAAGCCGAGCAAUAGUUAUACCCCACAUGGAUUUGAGACAUUAUUAUCUUUCUAAGCUUCCAUUAAUUAUCUUUAUCAUCCUUGCUUUUAAAGGUCUAGCAUUUAUCUUUGCAAGGUUCUUCAAGCUGGAUUAUCGAGGAAAAUUUGAGUGUAUUAAUUCCAUUCUUGCUUAUGAAGUUUUAAACUCUAUUUCAUAACAUUUUUUCCACUGCUCGUAAUAAUUCUUCUGGUAGUUUUGCUGUGACCGAAGUGUCUGAUGUGUAGAAUUGAUGGCUUUUAGGGUCAUCAUGCACAUGCAUAAUUAUCUCAGAUGUACUGCUUUGAUUAAAACACACAGAUGGAUACAGAUUUUGAAGAUAUGGAUCACACAUACUUUGUUAGCCACAUACAAAGCUGCCAUUCACCUUGUUUUCUCAGCCUGCUUAGAAAUAGGAACUGCUUUACAGUAAAGUUGAGCUCUGAAGCAGCGCAGGAUAAUGCUAUUUCAAGUUUUCUUAGAUGUCAUCUCAGCUUCAUUUGUACAACUGUUUCAAGUCUUGCAAUAAAUCAGUCUUCAUAGAGUCAUAGAACCAUAGAAUGGUUUGGGUUGGAAGGGACCUUAGAGAUCAUCUCAUUCCGACCUGCCUGCCAUGGGCAGGGACACCUUCCAGUAGACCAGGUCGCUCAGAGUCCCAUCCAAGCUGGCCUUGAACACUCACAGGAAUGGGGCAUCCACAACUUCUCUGGACAAUGUGUUCCACCACCUUCAUAGUAAUGAAUUUCUUUCUAAUACCUAAUCUGAGCCUACCGUCUUUCAGUAUGAAGCCAUUCCCCCUUGUCCUGUCACUACACGCUCUUGUAAAUAGUCUCUAUCCAACUUUCUUUUGGGCUCCCUUCAGGUACUGAAAGGCUGCAAUUAGGUUUCUCUGGAGCCUUCUCUUUUCCAGGCUGAACAAUCUCAAUUCCCAUAGCUUUCAUUUCCAUCUUCAUGUUAGGUAGAUAAUUCCCAAGUUUUCUUGUAAGCUGCCAUUGUUGCCAUUACUGGUUGCUUUGCAAAGGGGCAGGGCAGCCAAAGUUUCGUGUCAGUGCUAUUUGAUGCAGUGCACCGAGUGGGGUGACAAAGGACCCUUCUAAAGUAACCACAAGUCAAAAGUAUAGCAGGACACCUCUAAAUUCACCCAGACAGAAAAAUGGCUUACACUGAGAGUAGCCAGACACUGGCACAAGUGCAUAGAGAUGUUGCUACCUACCCUGUAGUUAUCCAAAAUUAGAGUGGACAAAGCCACAAGCAAUCCAGUGUUGUCUUUGCCUGCUCUGAGCAGGGGAUAUGCCAGCUUUCAAAAGCUCGUUCCAACAAAACCAAUCUGGUUAUUAUCUGGCGGUGAAAGCCUGCAAAAUGCUGUGGACAGGAGUCUCCUAAAAGGUUUCCUUCAGAGAACAGGGGUGGCAUCUACCACACAAAGGUAGUUAGGGAAGUUACCUUGAUCUUGGCUAUAAGUCUGCAAAGCCAGUCUUUCUUACCCCACCUUCUGACCUGUUGGUUAAGGGAGUGAACUUGCUCUGCAGCAAAGACCUUUUGUGUCAUUCUUUUGGUAUGGGUGAUUCAAAACCAGAGAGAGAUAAGGUACUCAAAUCAGUUGUUGAGCAGCGUGCCUUUUUGCAUCCAACUCUUUGAACCAGGAGAUAAAGCAAAGCUUAAGCAAUGUGGCAAAGUUUGUGGGCCAAUUCAUUUCAUUCAUUUAUCUUUUCACCUUUCUAUCUCACUCUUCGAUAUCUUUCUCUUCUGCCCCAUUUUCCAUCAGACACUUGAUUUAAACUCUUCUGACACUCCCCACAGCAUUCCUGACUACCUGACUGUUGGCAACUGCCACUGAAUCGUGGUAAGAAAUGAAGCACACUUAGUGCUUACCACAACUAUUUUGACCUUCUGUUGUUUUGGCAAAUAGAACACCUCAGUGGAAAUAAGGCUGUCUGGAAAAUAAAGACAAAAAAGCAAAAGAAUAAGGAAGGGAAUCAUGACAAUGUUUAGAGAUUUUAAAUUUGGUUGGAUACUCUUAUUUCUUUUUUAGUGUCUGUGUUCCAGCCAGCCCUGCUCACAGUACAACAGCGUUUGGCAAGGUCCACCAGAGCAGAUCAAGCAGUGCCAGGGCACGGGCCCAAGAGCUGGAACUUGACCAUCUAUACCAUUAAACUGUUAGCACAGGCUCUGCCUUGUGCUCUGUCUGGACUAGCUAAUGCUGUCAUAAACAAUUCUCAGGCAUGGCUUGGGGAUUAGCGAGGGCCAGCAGCCAUUCCCAAUUGGCAGUUUGGAUAUAGCCACCUUGUUUUGGAGGGUAAAAGUGUAUAAUCCUGUGAAUGUGGCCAGGCCAUAUCAUUUGGCCUCAGAGCCAUAUAAUAGGUCCUGGACCUGUUUUGUUUUCUAGUUACUGGAAUGGCUUUGUGUUUGAGGCAAGUGUAAUUGGUUUUACUUGACUCCACAGUUUCAUACUUGACUGAGUUGUAUCUGAACAAUAAGGAGCACAAGUACAUCUCGACUUUGUCUCUUUAGGCCAGUGUACCUGUGCACUGAGAUGGUGUGGUCUGUCCCUGUUAUAAAUUGUCACAACAACUAGAAUAGUUUGUGAACUCACUUUUCCAUUACAAAUACAAAUACACAGUCUAAGGGAGUCUAGAAAUAUAUCUUCUAGGGAGGUUUUUUCAGCUGGUUUUCAGAAAUCUUUGUCAUUGUUUUGAAUAUGGGCCACCAAUUGCUGGCAAAUUCAGUUUCUGUAUCAGAAUCAGUAUUUUCUGCAGAUGUGUCUGGUGCCAGGAAAUGAUUUUUAUAUUUUCUGUUGUAUCUGGAAGUAAGAAAUUGUGUUAGAUAUUGGACAGAUGUUAGCAUACAUCUGGUAUGAAAGAUCAUGUUAGUCAUUAAAUGUUGGAGUAGAAACACCUCUCACCUACCUACACAAUUGAUUUUUCAUUUACUAGCCCAUCUAUUUUCUUCUUUUCUUGCCACAGCAAUGAAUAGAAAAUAAUGCUACUUUCUGCCAGUGAAGGCCCAAUAAACCUGUGCUAGUUGCCAGGCCUAGGGAAAUUCCAAGUGUGGUUAUAUCCUUUUGUCCUGCCCUGUUUUCACCUUUACGCUUCCGUUUCCAUCUGCUCGAGGUACAGAUAUGUACUCAUCUUGAUUUUUUUUUGAGAUGAAUUAUGGAUCCUUUUAUUAGUGGAAUUUGCCUGAUUCUGUGAGCAGAGAGCUCCAGACCACCUUGCUAGUGCAUCCUACUAGCCCUGCAAGAAGAGAAACCCGAGAUUUUGGUUACCCUUCAGCAUUUUAGUCAUCAUAUGAACCAAAAUUAGUGUUUCCACAUGUGGCUCUCUCAGACUACACACUCCCUCUUGCACAGCCACAACCUGGGCAAGCAAAAUGAAAGUAGCAUGAUUAAUAUGUGUCCUCAUGUGAGGCAGAUUGUGAUUUUUUGCCAGUGCUGACAAAUUUGGAGACUUUUCAGUGCCAGAUAUUUUAUCUGAAGUAUUUCUUGAAAGAUAUGUCUACUGGUGCAUUUAUGAUGGCACCUAGAUAGAAAUCCAUGACUAUAUGUUAUAUUUGUGAUAGUUCCCCUCAGAAGAGGCUAUAGAAACAAAGAUUAGUGCACCUCACCUGUGGUGUUAUGUCUUGAAGACCUCUGGGGACUAACUUUCUUCAUCCCCUCAACCAUAAAAUCUACCAAAUCUACCUUUGUAGAGGAACAGUUCACGAGUCUAUUUGAGAACAUCUGAGGGGUUAAUAGUGGGGUGUUUUGCCACACAGGUUCAGUCAAAUAUAACACUGUUAGCCCCGGGUAGUCGUUCAGUGCAGUUGGAAAUGAGCUUCUGUUUCUCAGCUCUUUUCCCUUUGUGUUUCUGCUUCAUUGUGUUUUGUGCCCUGGCUGUUUUCCUUUCCUUUGGAGGUGAGUAUUCCUGGACAGAAUGAAAGUACAUAGAUGCACGAAGUGUGUACCACUGCUGAAACCUUUUUACAAGAGCUACAAAGAAAGGAAGGAAGAACUGCAGUCGCAAGAAGCAAAUCUAAAUAAGCUCCCACUCCACCUUUUUCAAUUUACUGGAGGAAAUAUCUUUAUUCAUAUCAUUUGACUUUUUGUUUGUUAGAUCAAAUUGAGCCAGUUGGAAUGAGCCUUGAUGAUCAGAACACAAGUUCUGAAAACCUCUGUUUAGCUGCUGGUCUCCGUGCAAUUGGUUUGCUUAAAUUUGCUGUAAUAACCUUUUAAGAGUCGUGUACCCAUUCUUCACUGAGGACCCUGCUGUGCAUUGUGAUUAUGUUCUCUGUUGCCUCCCUGAAUAUUUAACAUGAUCAAAGUGUUGUGUUGUGGGGCUUAGUUUUGGGGGAAGUUUUUCUUUUUGUCUAGGUCAGUCCCGUGGCCCCAGUCUCCUCCAAGCUUUUAAUUCCAAAAUAUGAAGUUGUGUUGCUUGUUAUCUAUUACUCCCUGGGUCUCAGUUCUCCUUUACUUCUUCUCCACCCUUUCCUUUUUGAAGUAUCUGCUUAGUAAAGUAUUGAGCAAGCAUGCUGAGUAGCUCUGAUAAUUAGGCAAUUUCAGUUUGGGGAUGGAUGCUGGAUGUUAAGUCAUGGGAUGGACACUGGUUGUGUUGGAAGGCAAGGUACUCUGUCGCUGAGUAGGAAGGAGUUGAAAUGCCCUUUCUAUCAGUGCCACUCACCAGUGAGCCAAGGGGAGAGCGCUGAAAAGAAACACGAUUGCGUGGCCUUCUCCGCCCUCUUUCCCAGGGAAAGCAGCAGAUGUUGGCAGUGAAUAUAGUGAAGUGCAAACGAGUAAAAUAAUGAAGUGAUAGUUUAAUGGAAUUAUUAAUGGGAUUUGUGUUCAAAUAGUGAACAAGGAUUGAUUUUUAUUAACAUGGGUUUUAAACAUGUAAACUUAUGCAAAAGAUUAUACCCCACUCACUUUCCUUUCUCUGGAAGAGUGUUUAUAGAUUACACUGUUUGUGCAGGGUUCUCCAAACUUCUUUAAAUAUUGCCCUUUCUCUCACUUAUCUCCUGGUUCUUCUCAAUGUGUAGCUCUUCAUCUAAAUCUGCAUAAUACACUCAGAAAUUUAACUGAACGAUGAGGAAACCUUGGAAGUAAAACUGAAGUAGUAGGUGUUCAGUGGGAGUUUGGUGUUUGCUUGUUCAUUCUCACCAGAAUAAAAGAUGGCAACAUGACAGAUAGCUCAAAAUGCUAAAGUGCAGCUCUCCAGAAGCUGCGAAGCCUUUGCUAGAAGGGGCUCUGUAUGUACAAAGUGGUGGUGAAGACGUCAUAAUUACGAGCUGACAUUUAAAGAAAUGUCAGAAGCAUUCAAACACCCCCCUACUCAGCUUCCACCCAUGUAUCUUUUUGUGUCCCCGAUCCUGCCAUCUGUUAUCCCAAGGACUUGGGUUUUGAUUACCUUUUUGUUUGCUUUUCUGAUAAGUGUUUUGUUUAUCCUCUGUGCCUGGCAUGUGCUUCCAGAGGUGUUCUGGAAGCCCCUUGCUCUCUUUUAUGUGGAUUUCUCCUGAAGAACUAUUUACCACCACAACGCUGGCAAAAACUAAUCCUCUGACUAUGGCUGGACUGGGGAAAUAUAAUGAUAUCAGGCCAGUGGCAAAGCAUGAGUGCUCCAUGCUGUGGUUGGCUACCGAAGUUGAGCUUGUCAGUCCUUGAGAAGUUGAGAAGUCAGCUGAGAAAUUGACAGUGUCAUCAAGACCAAGUCCUGAAGGCCUGGCCAAGAGGAUUUGUCUGUCACCUGAAAGACUGAGCUCGUGGACUGUGUCUCGUGGUAGGAACGAACAGACUCGGCAGUAUUUCCCUGGAAAAAGCGAUCUUCCUGAAGACAGCAAUCCCUCUGCUGCUCAUUGGGCCAUUUGGCACAUCUACAUCCUCUCCUGAUCCUGACAAAAUGUCACUUCUCUCUGCUCAGUUUUCUACUGACUCAUCAACCUUUUCAGUUGUAUUUGUGUUCUUCUUAAUGAAAAAUAAAGAAAAAAAAGAAGAAAAUAGAAAGAGCUGUUUCUUUUUAAUGAAAUUUCUUGUAUGAGGACAGCAAAUCUCAAAUUGUUUCAUUGAUCUUCUUUGUUUUGUUUUAUUACUUAAACAUUAAAAAUGAAAUAGAUAAGACAUAAA
Molecule: long non-coding RNA, 16538 nt
Organism: Pseudopipra pipra
Lineage: Eukaryota; Metazoa; Chordata; Aves; Passeriformes; Pipridae
Exons: 2
Source: RefSeq, a predicted model, not a curated record